GACUCGCGCUUACUAAGAAUUCCU
This 24-nucleotide non-coding RNA is filed under the name Arabidopsis thaliana (thale cress). The record is from RNAcentral. Lineage: Eukaryota; Viridiplantae; Streptophyta; Magnoliopsida; Brassicales; Brassicaceae.